This 464-nucleotide ribosomal RNA is filed under the name uncultured bacterium. Its description in RNAcentral is "bacterial SSU rRNA". It matches the Rfam family "Bacterial small subunit ribosomal RNA", at positions 30 to 507 of the family's 1533-position model. The record is from RNAcentral.
AUUGAACGCUGGCGGCAUGGCUAAAACAUGCAAGUCGAACGCGAAAGUGGAGCUUGCUCCGCGAGUAGAGUGGCGAAAGGGCGAGUAAUGCGUUUCUAACGUGCCCCAGGGCUGGGGAUAGCUCAUCGAAAGGUGAAUUAAUACCCAAUAACCCCACCGCGUCGUAUGUCGUGAUGGGCAAAGGCUUGCCGCCUUGGGAUCGGGGAACGUGCUAUCAGGUUGUUGGUGAGGUAACGGCUCACCAAGCCUAAGACGGCUAGCGGGUGUGAGAGCACGGCCCGCCGCAUCGGGACUGAGACACUGCCCGGACUCCUACGGGAGGCUGCAGUAACGAAUAUUCCGCAAUGCGCGAAAGCGUGACGGAGCAAUGCCGCGUGCAGGAUGAAGCCCCUCGGGGUGUAAACUGCUGUCAGGGUUUAGAAACACAAUGAUCAGACCCAGAGGAAGAGCCGGCUAACUCUGUG